CCUACGGGAGGCAGCAGUGAGGAAUAUUGGUCAAUGGACGAGAGUCUGAACCAGCCAAGCCGCGUGAAGGAUGACUGCCCUAUGGGUUGUAAACUUCUUUUAUAAGGGAAUAAAUCGCGGUACGUGUGUCUUUUUGCACGUAUUUUAUGAAUAAGGAUCGGCUAACUCCGUGCCAGCAGCCGCGGUAAUACGGAGGAUCCGAGCGUUAUCCGGAUUUAUUGGGUUUAAAGGGAGCGUAGAUGGGUUGAUAAGUCAGGUGUGAAAGUUUGCGGCUCAACCGUGAAAUUGCAAUUGAUACUGGCAGUCUAGAGUGCAGUUGAGGUAGGCGGAAUGCGUGGUGUAGCGGUGAAAUGCUUAGAUAUCACGAAGAACCCCGAUUGCGAAGGCAGCUUACUAAACUGUGACUGACGUUGAUGCUCGAAAGUGUGGGGAGCAAACAGGAUUAGAUACCCUAGUAGUC
This 460-nucleotide ribosomal RNA is filed under the name uncultured bacterium. Its description in RNAcentral is "partial 16S ribosomal RNA". It matches the Rfam family "Bacterial small subunit ribosomal RNA", at positions 338 to 795 of the family's 1533-position model. The record is from RNAcentral.